Molecule: long non-coding RNA, 1745 nt
Filed under: Schizosaccharomyces pombe (fission yeast)
Lineage: Eukaryota; Fungi; Ascomycota; Schizosaccharomycetes; Schizosaccharomycetales; Schizosaccharomycetaceae
Description: non-coding RNA, possible alternative UTR
Source: RNAcentral
UUCCUUGCAUUGCUUACUCUGCUUUUCAAAAAUGAACUGUAAUUGAAAACGGGUGAACGAUAAAUGUAACAGUUGUCAUAGACAAAAAAAAAUUUAUUAACUUCAAUUUUACUUUCAUACAAAUUUGACAUCGAAUUUGUCUAUUACAUAAAAUCGUAGUAUAUUAAUCCAAAAUUUUAUUGUUCACAUAACUCAGCCAACUGCGCUCGAAACAAACGAAAUAAACUUCUUGCAAAUUCACCUUGAGAAUGGUAAAUACUCUUGAACGCUUUCUCUUCAUCCCUAGCCAAUUGAACAUGCUCCGAUAACCAAGAGGGGAAUUUUUGACCAGGCCUGCUUAUAUAUCCCACCCCUAAACGAUCUUUCAUAACAUCAAAUUUGUAUCUACUUACAGGUUCAUAAAAGUCAAUGAUUGCUUCUAAGCAUUGAUCACAUAUAUUGGUAGCAACAGAAGGCCGGUAAAAUGAGGUAAUGCAAUCUUUAAACUUAGUUAACUUCGGUAUUCUAUUGCAAAGCACACAACGGCCUACAAGAUUGCAUGCUAGCUCUAUAUAUGUAGACUCAUCGCAUGACUGUGUUCCAUCUCCUGUUUGGAUGAUCGAGGAGGCUAACGAAGAAGUAUCAGAAUGAAUUGUCUUUGCUGCAUAACUUUGAUAACUUGGAUCAAGAAAAAUUGGAAUGAUUGUAGGGAUAUCGGUAAAUUUGGCCACAGCACUUGUGUUUAUAGACUCAGAGCAAGUUACAGCCGAAUUUGGAUUUUUUUUAUGCACCUUAAGUAAUCGUUUCCAAAAUGAAACAUUUCGAGGGCUGAGAAUCUUUUUAAAACGUAAACAUGUAUUGGGGAGGUCAUGGAUAAGGGUAUGUCGUUGUUUUCUAUAUGAAAAUGCAAAGGGUAACUUCUCUAUGUAUGAAGCAUCAUAGCAAUAUGAAAAAAUCAGCUGUAAAAUUUCAUCCGGACAAUCCAAAAUUUUUGCAUACUUAGGACUCUCAGAUGAGUAUCUAUAAUAUAAAUUUGACUUAGGUGAAGCAACAGUUAAAUUUAAUGAAGAGUCAAGAUUAUCGCUACUUGGUAUUUUUCUGAAAGGCAGGACUUGGGUAGUAUACUCGGCAUAAUCAUUAAUCAAUUCUAGAAGAUUUCUACUUAGUGAGCAUUUAUCAAGUAGACCUUCAUAAUCAAUCAUUGCUGAAGCAUGCGAAUCUCCAUCAACAACCAACGUAUUCCAGACACCAUUCCAAUUGUCUUCUUCAUCAAAAUUAGAACAGAUCGAAACCAAUCGCUUCAUGGCUCUUACUCUUGCUAAACAAUGCACAAAUUCAUCAAAUGUUUGAGGCUUGAAAUAUGAGCUUCUUAUUUUUUUGCGAGUAUCGAUUAGUAUUCUUAAAAACGAUUCAUCUUGAUCCAAGUGCUCAUUCACGCUGGUAUUCAUAUAGCAUGUAUGCGUUUUGCAAUUUUGAAAUGAAAAUUGAAGCAUUUAGUUUGAUUAAGUAGUAGUACCCAUAUACAGUUCGUUGAUGGUGAUGUUGGCUGACUGCAAGCUCAAUUUGCCGGUUAUCAACAUUGCAUAAUUAUACAUCACAUGGUUACUUACUCAUACCGGCCUGAGAAUUAGGUGAAUAAAAACCUAUAUAGAAAACAGAAGUUUUAUAAUAAAAACUAGUGGUAUACUUCGCAUAUUAUACUAAUGUGGAUCGAAUUUAAUUCUUUGUGUGAAAGACGUAACAUUGGUGUUAUCAGAUCAGAUAAG